CAGUAGCCGCGGUAAUACAGAGGAUGUAAGCGUUAUCCGGAAUGAUUGGGCGUAAAGCGUCUGUAGGUGGCUUUUCACGUCCGCCGUCAAAUCCAGGGCUCAACCCUGGACAGGCGGUGGACACUACCAAGCUGGAGUACGGUAGGGGCAGAGGGAAUUUUCGGUGGAGCGGUGAAAUGCGUUGAGAUCAGAAAGAACACCAACAGCGAAAGCACUCUACUGGGCUGACGCUGACACUGAGAGACGAACGCUAGGGGAGAAAAUGGGAUUAGAUACCCGCGUAGUCCCUGUCUCUUAUACA
Molecule: ribosomal RNA, 301 nt
Filed under: uncultured bacterium
Lineage: Bacteria
Description: partial 16S ribosomal RNA
Rfam family: Bacterial small subunit ribosomal RNA
Source: RNAcentral